Ictalurus punctatus (channel catfish) is the source of this 11179-nucleotide RNA transcript. It is a transcript of the gene named RPGR interacting protein 1, with no coding region annotated. Lineage: Eukaryota; Metazoa; Chordata; Actinopteri; Siluriformes; Ictaluridae. The record is from RefSeq and is a predicted model, not a curated record. The transcript is spliced from 18 exons.
CCAACCGCUAAUCUCUCUAUCUCUCUCUAUCUCUCUCUCUCUCUCUCUCUCUCCGAAGGUGCGAGCGCGGACGAGACCGCCGGGUGGUGAGAUCGCACGCACCGGCGGACGACGGCAUGGGAGACCCACGCCCACGUCUCGGGAACCCCGACACGCCCUCGAGAGGGUCACACGACAGCCACACCCCCACGAAACCCCACGCACUCACACACCCUCGCCUCCUCACGACGGACAGCUCACACUAAGACUAAUAAAACACCCAUUGUGACUGCAAUCUGUCUCUUAUGGGUCUGUGCUCUGCCCUUCCCCCGAGCUAACCCCCUACAUCAGUUAAAACACAUACAUGUAAGAAACGAUUAAGAAUGGUUAAAAACAGUUUGAUUUCAUGUAAACAAAUAGAAGUAUGGCUGUAAGGAAUUGUGGUGACACUUCCCCUUGAAGUGUCUGCACUGAGCAGAGAGUGGAGAGGAGAAGCAGACAGACUAACAAGCUAAAAAGUUAAAACUCUUUUGUGAAGAGUUGAUUUAGAAGCUCAAAAACAAUACUUACCUGCUUGGGCAUUUAUGAAGAUUAAGUACAAGAAAACCACAACGUUUUUGGUGAGUUUCAACCCCUUUUACUUGAAGUGUUGUGAAUGCUAUUGUGAAGUGAAUGCUGUAAAUGCUAGCAAAGAGCUAAUGAUGUAACUCUGGAGAAAGCCGCAAACACUAUUUACCAGUAAUAACUUUGAGUUAGUUAAAGAAGCAAAGUGUGAAUUUAUAUUGUGUUAAGUUGAUUAAAUGUGAGUUUGAGCUUAUGUAAAGGAAAAAGAUGUUAUCGGCCUGACGGCAGGAGAGAAGCACUUCUCUGUCGCUUUUCUGAGGCCUAGUUAAACAUGUACAGUAAUGUAGCAGUAAUGUUAUGUUUCACAGAAAUUGUAAAGGGGUAUUUGCUUUAUUCAUGUGGUUAGAAUAAUUUAUUUCCUUUAUGACCUGUUAUACAGGUCAGGGUUUUUUUUUGUUGUUGUUUAUGUUCCUGUUUGAAAUUGGACUUUGGACUGCCACGUGUGGGGACUACGCACGCACGCACACACACACACAGACACGGGAUAAGAUGGCGAGCCAAACCCAUGGACAAAGUUUCUAGAGACAACUCGGCUUCUUCGUGCCAGAGAGGAUCUGCUGUGUACGGUGGGACGCCGGUAAACUCACUGCCUGACCGGGCCGGAGGUCACUGCACGAGAACCAGGGGACUUUGCUCGGAAAAUUGGGGCAGCUGAGUGAGCAACUGAAACAGGAAAAGCAGAAGGUGCUGAUCCUAGAAGGUCAACUUAAUAUUGCCACUGUCUCUCUACACAGCUUGUCAGAGUUUCAGGAGAGAGUCUUAGACGUUGAAGGGGAGAGAAAUCUCCUAAAGAGAAGCUAUAAUGCUUUACUGCUUAGCACUCUGUCUGCCCAGAGCCACCAUAAUGAACAUGAGAGUGAAAAAGAGAGUGAUAAACAGGAACUGGAGAACUGGAGAACUGAAAUAUUGAUACUGGAGAAGAAGCUGGAAGAUAAAAAAAGGGAGAGAGAAAAGCUGGAGCAGGAAAAAAAGAGGGUGGUACUAGACUAUGAAAGGAGUCAAAUGGAAAGAGCACAAGAAAGGGCCAUGACAACUGCCCUUAGAGAAAAACGUGACUUCCUGGAGCAAGAAGUGCUACAGUACAGACAGAAUGUGACAUCCCUACAAGAGAGACUAGACAGAGUAUCAAAAGAUUUUCAUAUGGAUGUGGAAGAUCUUCAUGAAGUUCUGAUGCAAAUUAAGGUUUUUCGACUGCAGCAUGAGAAUUGUAAGGGUCUGACUGUCCUGGUGAGUAAUGAGAAGGUCAAGGACCCAUCCCAAGAGCUGGCUGCUCUACAGGCCUCACAUGCAGAAACCAUACUAGAACUGCAGAAAACUCGGGAAUUGUUGGUAAUGCAGCAUAAGCUCAAUAGUGACCUGCAGGCUGACAUGAAGACAGAGAAGAAGAGAUCAGAAAGAGAACGAGAAUGGAAAAUGGAGGUCACUGAAAAAGACAAACUGUUGAAAAAUAGGGCAUUUCAAAUCAACAGUUUACAAUCUCAGCUGAGAGAAUUAACUUACCAUCCUAGAAACAACAAUAAGAUUAUACCACAGCAAUACACAUGGACAGGGGUGGAUCAGGAGGUAGUCCAGACGAUGGAGGGGAAUACCAUAUUAAAUCAGCUCCAGGAUGGAGGAUCCUUGCUUGAAAUCAAUCUCAUUGGAGCCACGUUCACCCCUGUGGGACUGAGACUCAUGAGACAGCAGAUAAGUGGUACCAGUGGUCCCCAUGAGUUGGUGACAUUUUGUACUUACACGUUCCUUGACUUUGAAAUGCACUCAACCCCACUAGUUUCAGGGACACAACCAAACUAUGGCUUCACAUCCUACUAUGUCCUUACUGGCCACAGCCCCACCAAGUUUGAGGUUCAAGGAGUGUUUGCACAUGUUGAAGUACAUCAGGCACUAGGAGGAGUGCAAUUCAUAACCCAGGGCAGAGCAAGUAUCCCCCUCAUACAAACGCUACAGCACAGAGGAGAAAAAGUAAAAGGGAAAGUCAACAUUACAGGAUCCAAGGGGGACAUGAUAGGGGUCCUGGAAUUCUGGGUCCGUUUGUUCUCUGAAGUGGAGCCAAAAGAUAUUCACACAGAUAUGGCACACAGAAUGACAGAAAAAAUGUUGGACAGCAUGACUGACCAAUUGCCCAUAGACAAAGCUUUAUACUGGAGUCAUAUACAGCCUGAAGAAUUAUUUGAGUAUGGCGGAGGGUUAUCCAAUGAGUUGCUGGUGGUACUGAAACGCUGUGUGGGAGUAUGCUGGCAAGGAUUUCAUACUGAUGCCUAUUUAAUUCAUCGCCUGUAUGAUCUACCCCUACGUUACACUCCUAAAGUACCAAGCUGUACAGACCCUGUGUUUUCAGAUUCUACCACCUACCCAUUAGCUGUUACAGCAGAUCUGAUUGAAUACCUGAAGGUGAGCAGCCUAUGGGUGUACAUGAUUGAUGACAGUGAAUGCCAGCCUCCUACUACUUAUCUGGCCAAGACACCAGUGCCACUGCAGGCCCUAAUAACAGGCAGGCCAAUUAAAGGUUGUUAUGUCCUGAGGGACCCUGCAGGGAUUCCUAGAGGCAUAGUGAGCGUGCAUAUCCAGUGGAGGUACCCAUUCCAGUCACCUGAGGCCCUAUUCAGACCAACACAAAAAUGGAAAAUAGAGAGAGAUGGAAAGUGGCUCAAAAAUGUUGAAGACAAAACUCAAGCAUCACCGAGGUCAAUUGCAAAACUGCGAGUGGUUUCAGAGCCUUUUCCCUCAACACUGGGGACAAGGCAGGAGAUUCAGCCCACACAGUAUGCCAGUCUAUCACAAGCCAGACUCAGUCAUCCAGAGCCUUCCAAUCUACUACUCAAAAUGCAUAGACCUGCAGGAUCUCAACAACCCCAGUUUCCUGCACACAAAUCAACGCCAAGAGAACCAGUAGCUAAAUGGAUACAGUUUCCAAUUUAUAACCAAACCUGUCAUAGAAGGUCAUUCAACAACAGUCUGAACAUGCGUGACUCUGAUCAAACCUCAGCUAGUACCAAGCAAAUGAGCUCAAGACAUCAUUCACAGGAACACAAGGAGAAGGGAGAAGAAGAAUCCCAUGAUGUAAUUCUGAGAGAUCAAAUGGACAGUGAAGUUCUAGAGUCUUCGGAAUCCAUCAAGUCCAGUGAUAGUGAUGUUAUCAUUCACCAGCCUCAAAGGCAUGUCAAAGAGGGCAACAGACUUAAAGUUGAGAUCUUAUCACUUUUGCUUGACCCUUCCUCAAGUGUUGCUUUAGACCAAGCUGUGCAGCAAGUUUAUGUGGAGUACCGCCUUUUAGGCAUUCCCAUGGAAACCACAGAAACCCCAAUGUCUCUGCAAAAACCAACAGAGGGAGAAGAAAUACAUUUCAACUUCAGCAGAGGUACAGUUGAAGAUUGCAGUUGAAGAUUGCAACCCUCAUGAAAAAAGCCUGGUUUGAAAAUAAUGACUCAGAGAAUUUUCAGGAGGCUCAUGUGCAGUCAGAAGCCAUUACAGAAAAAGCAAGCUGUAUUUCAUUUAACUAACCAAUUUUGAGGUGGCUUCCCAAUGUAGCCUUUACAUAAUGCAAGAUUACAUAAUCCAAGAAAUGUUUUGUUUUCACAUUUACAUGAUAAAAUCCCAUUAAGACAUAAAUGAAAGGACAAGAAACUUAAUUUUAUUGGCACACAGCUGUCUCUCACUUUAAAUGUUAACCAUAUCACACUGUUUGUUCUAUUACUAUUGAGCCAAAGAGUGAGGGAGCCAAGUCACUAAUGUCAGUGACAGGAGCCAGCAAGGACUGUUAAUAUAUGAAACAGUUGUGAUGAACUUAAAUGAAGUUAACUAACUAAGUAGAGAAAGUUAAGUAAUGCUAAUUAUCUCAUUAAAAUAAUUAACUUUCAGAUAUUAAUCUACACUUAGAUGUCCUUCAUUACUUCCCCACCAGUGGUUCUAACAAUACCUUGCCAUCAUUAACAACAUAUAGUUAGCUAGCUAUCAGUUAAUCUAUUGGCUAGUGAACUUCAGAGGUUACCGGUGUGAGACAGUUGGUUUACUCUUCAACAUAACUUCUACUCAUAUACCGCUACCUACCUACCUACCCAACCUCCCCGUGUCCUUUAAUGUCACAUAAGAACAAACAAAUUAUUGCAGUUUUUCUCAAUUUUGUACUAACUCCAGCUCACAGCAUGUCUCGCUCUGACUUUGUGCUUCUGCCUCCAAGGUGUGUCUCUUUAUUGUGCGUAGGUGUCCCCUCUUUCUUUUGCCUCCUGGUAUCCAGUGGAGUGCCACUCUUGCUAUGUUGUCUUCAUUCCUGCGGACAUGGCCAACCCAUCUCCAUCUCUUUCCUGUAAUGGUUGCUGUGAUUUCCAUCUGUUCAGAAUCAGAAUAAUUUUAUUUACUAUAUACAUUUACAUGUAUUUUUAUUUUUUCUUGGUGUUUCAACACAAGAAAACAUUCAUACAUUCAACACACACACAUCUCGGACAACACCACACAAUUAACAUCCUAAUAUACAGAUAUUGCACUUAAUAAACAAAUAUUUCACGUUUAAACACAAAUGAUAGGCUCAUAUGUAAUUUACAUUACAGUGGAAGUAGAAAUAGCAGCUGGAUGCAGUUCAGGGUGGAUUAAACUGAGUGGAACAAUUGUGAUAUAAAUAAAAGCUAUAUAUAAUAAUAUAAAAAUUAUAUAUAGUAAUAACAAUAGUAAUAAAUAUGUUUAACAAAUAGUAAUAAAUAGUAGGGGCAGUGGUGGCUUAGCGGUUAAGGCUCUGGGUUUCUGAUUGGAAGAUUGGGAGUUCAAGCCCCGGCACUGCCAAAAUGCCACUGUUGGGCCCUUGAGCAAGGCCCUUAACCCUCUCUGCUCCAGGGUCAGCCAUGAUACAGCACCCCAGGAGCAGAGAGGGUCAGCCUGACCCUGACAUGCUGGGGUGUGUGAAAAAAAGAAUUUCACUGUGUGUAUUUAUUGAUAUAUGUGAGCAAUAAAGACUCAUUAUCAUUAUUUAAUGAAAAUAAUACAACCCCAAUUCCAAAAAAGUUGGGACACUGUGCAAAAUGUAAAUAAAUGUAAAAACAAAAACAAAAAAACAGAAUGCAACAAGUUGCAAAUCUCAUAAACCCAUAUGUUUUUCACAAUAGAACAUAGAAAACAUAUCAAAUGUUUAAACUGAGUAAAUGUACCAUUUUAAGGAAAACAUAAGGUAAUUUUGAAUUUGUUGGCCACAACAUGUCUCAAAAAAGUUGGGAAGGGGCCAACAAAAGGCUGGAAAAGUAAGUAAAUGUUACUAAAAAGAAACAGCUGAAGGAACAUUUUUAGCAACUGGUAUGUUUCAAUUGGCAACAGGUCAGUAACAUGAUUGGGUAUAAAAAAGAGUAUCUUAGAGAGGCAGAGUCUCUCAGAAGUAAAGAUGGGAUGGAAUCUGGAUGGAAGCAUAUAUUGCUCUAAAACCUGUAUAUACAUUUCAGCAUAGAUGGUGCCUUUCCAGAUGUGCAAGGUGCCCUUUUCAUAGGCACUAAUGCACCACCAUACAAUUAGAGAUGCAGACUUUUGAACCGAGCGCUGAUAAAAAGCUGGAUGGUCCCUCUUCUAUUUGGUCCUCUUUAGUUUAGAGGAUGUGGCAUCCAUGGUUUCCAAAAAUAAUUUAAAAUUUAGAUUCGUCUGACCACAGAACAGUUUUCCUCUUUACCUCAGUCCAUUUUAAAUGAGCUUUGGCCCAGAAAUGACUGUGGGCCUGAACAAAAUCCUCCCUGGUGGUUGAUAUAUGAGACCACCGUUGUGUUGUCUGUCACAACUAACACAUGGUGACCUCUCAAUUGAGGAAGAAAGAAUUUCAGUGCUAGAAACAUGGCCUGCAUUUCUAGGCGAUUUAUAUGCCACUCCAGAUGAGGGCCACUCCAGAGACGUGAGUUGGUCCAGCCUGUGAGGGAUGUGUCUGUUAUUACCGUCUUUCAAUAAGGAGACACCCCUAGAGUGUGAUGCAAGGCUAAAAACCGGAGACACCUCCAAAUUGUCAGAGCACGUAGGCAUCGAAGCAUGGCACCGAUUACUCUGAGAUUUCGUCCGAGGAUGAAACCCCCGACUUUUCAGCCACCACUGAAAUGGUAUCCUGUGCAAUUGGCCCAAUGUUGUGAUGUUGGCUGCUUCUGCAUUAAGCCCCAACACUCUCUGGUUUUCUGCUCCACAGAGGAGAAAAGUCUAGUAAAGAUUGAUCUUUGUCUGCUGUAUUGUCUUGACCUACAUACAGGAGCAAGUUUUGCACAGUCCUGUCUGGCUUUGCUUAGUCUGCGACUAAUGCCCUCUUCUGCCCCACCACUUUCAGUGACCACACUGCCAAGAUAAGUGAAGGUCUCUGUUGCCUUUGUUUCUUCUUCUACAGCUGUUUUCCUCCCUCUUGCUGUUUAUUCGCAUCAGUUUAAUUUUCUUUGCAUUGACUUUCAUUCCUAUUCGGUGGAAAUAUCUCCAUAGCCUGUCCAUCUUUUCCUGGAUGUGGCACUCUGUGUGAAACAUAACUUGUCUUUCCUUGCCUUGGAGAACUGUUUUUUCUUAGCAUGUUCAAUACUUUUUUCCUGUGUCAUUCCACUUUAUUACACAUAACUUUAUUUAUGGACUUUAAUGUCGUGGAUUCUUUAUAUUUCCUGAUCUUUUGAGUUAGUACAGAUGUCUGGAGAACAUUUCAUGUGAAUAGCCUCAUUGGAAAUAUAUUUACUGAAAAAAAUAUUGAAGCAUCCAAUACUUAUUUCCCCCAAUGUAUGUAUUCUGUGCUAUGUUCUAAGAUGUUUCUUAGAGUGAAUGUUCUGCCCAGUCCAGUCUGCCUGCUCCUUUCUAAGCAGUGUGUCUAACUCUGGAACUAGUCUCUAUUUAAUGAUUCUAUAUAAAAUCUUGCUGGGAAUAGAUAGCAGAGUGAUUCCUCUCCAGUUGUUGCAGAUAGGUUGCCCGUCGCCUGCUGUUUUAUUGUAAAGCACUUUGAGAAAGCAACUUUUAUAUACGCUAUACAAAAUGUUGUUGUUGUUGUUGUUGUUGUUGUUGUUGUUGUUGUUAUUAUUAUUAUUAUUAUUAUUAUUAUUAUUAUUAUUAUUAUUAUUUGGUAUUUGUAUAAUGUUGCCUUUUCUCAAAUCUGGUAGAAUAACGUCUAAUGUCUAUAUUGCUUUGAAGAGUGGGUGAAGUGCAAUGGCAGCCAUGUGAGGAUCAGCCUUGAAUAGUUAUGGGUUUAGUUGGUCAUCCCCAUGGUAUUUUCACUUUUCAUUACUUUGAUAGCCUCCAUGAUCUCAUUCACUGUCGGUGGCUCUGGGUUGACAUGGAGCUCCCUUCUGGUGUCAUCAAUUUCUGCUGGAAUGCCUGAAUCAGGCCUGUUCAGUUUCUCAGUUUCCACAGAGGGAUCUAGUAAACUGAUAUAGGGUUAUAAGCUCAUUGAAAAGUACAGUAAUAUGGGCUUUGACUUUCUGUGAUACAUGGUCUUCAUGUUUCCAAUUUUGAUUACAAAUACAGAAUUUACUGGUAUGGUCAGUUAUGUCUUUUCAUGCAAGCACAGAAUGUAUAUGCAAAUCAACCAUCAUUUGUCUCUGUUGUGUGUUCGAGUUUAACUUGUAAACAGAGUGAGGCAAGAGGAGGCAACCAUCCAUUGACCUUGGUGUGAGUGCUUUGACAUUGGCCUCAUAUUUUGUGUUUCCUUAAUUUUCAGUUACAAAAUUAUGUACAAGAAUGUACAGGUGGAUCUAAAAAAAAUCUGAAUAUCGUGAAAAAGUUCAUUUUUCCCUUAAUUUAAUUUAAAAAGUGGAACUUUCAAAUACUCUAGAUUCAAUACACAUAAAGUGAAAUAUUUCAAGCCUUUUUUGUUUUAUAUCUCAUGGAAAUAAAAAAAAUCCAGUAUCUCAAAAUAUUAGAAUAAAGAAUUUAUAAAACAGAAAUGUCGACCUUCGGAAACGUAUGAUAAUUUACACACUCAAUAUUUGGUUGGGACUCCUUUUGCACGAAUUACUGCAUCAAUGCGGCGUGGCAUGGAGACACUCUCCUGAAGAUGAAUGUCCAGUCUUUAGUCCUUAAACUGAAACUCAAGCGCAACUGGAUUAUGCAGAAAGACAAUGAUCUAAAAUAUAGGAGUAAAUUCUAGUCCUAGAAGUAAGUGAAAGACUGAUCUCCAGUUAUCUGAAGUGUUUGGUUACAGUUAUUGCUGCUAAAGGUGGCACAACCAGAUUUAAAUUUAAAGGGGCAAUUAGUAUUUCACAUGGGUGAUUUGAUACUCUUUUUUUGCUUCAGAAAUUAUAAAUAAAUAAAUAACUGUAUUGUGUGUUUACUAGGGAUGUCACGAGAACCGAUACUUCAGUACCAAGUCGGUACCAACAUUCUUAAAAUGUGACGGUACUUGUUUUUCUGCAGUAGCAUAAGUACCAUUAGUAAUGAAGUACCGGCGUUGCAAUUCUUUCGGAACUGAUUGGGGCAGCAUAUACGUGUAAGUCUUUUAGUCAGUCCACACAUGCUAAAGAAGAAAAAGAACACCUACAAGCACACAGGAAAAAGGACUGCGAAAAGUUUAGCUCCACCCUGACUCGUUGAGAGGAAAGGUGGUAAGAGUCAAAUAUGGAAAUACUUCGCAUUUGACACAGAUGACAACAAACAUAUAAUUGAAAGCUGGUGUGCAACCGAUGCCAUUGUUCAUUUCAAACAAAGGGUAGAAACACUUCAAAUUUGUCGAAGCACCUGAAAGACAGGCACCUGAUCUCUUCAAAGAAUUCCAGGUGAGUGAAUUUCAAGUCAUCAAGGUGUUCCAAUUAGCUUUUUUUGAGUUUCCAUUUUUGAGGUCUUUGUUGUGUAUCUGUUAUGAUCAGGGGAAAGUGGUCACUUUCGCACAUAUCAUCCCAGACAUGCCAUGAAAAAUCGAUAGAGGUUACAAAAAGUCAAAUCAGAGAAGAUUCCAUGACCCAGAUGCAGAAAAGUAUUUGAACCAUCAAACAUAGGUCAUUUUCAUUAAUAAGCUUUUCUAUCUUCUUUCCCUUUGUAUGAAGAUGUUUGCCUCCCCACAAAGGGUUGUGACUGUUGAAGUCACCCAUGAGAAUAUAGGGCAGUUGUAACUGUUUUACAAGUUUGUCUAAGUCUUGGUAUGUUACAGCAAAAUCAGGAGUUAUACAAAUAGUGCACAAAGUAAUGGAAACUAUGGUAAUGGUUAUGUUAGUCAAAAUGCUAUUGCUUGUAAGUUGGUGUCUACUGCCAUAUUACUGUGGUAGACAUCAUGUCUUAUUAAUAUAGAUGAGCCACCAGAGGGGUGUACAAUAUUUGGACCAUAGGCAUUUAAGAAUGUUAACCGUUUAAGAAACACUUUGCAAUUUGUGGUAAGAUGGGUCUCCUGUAGGCAGAAAUCCAGAGGAUUAUAAACCACAGCUAAAAGCUGCAGUUCUGCAAAAUUGUCUUUAAGACUGCGACAAUUCCAGUGUUUUACUGUAUCUGCUUAUACAGUUUCAAGUGGGUAGAACAAGAGGAUGCCCCUUGUUUCUACCUUUUGGAGAGAGGCUACAGCUAUGAGAGCACGUGUCCUCUCCACAGUUACAGCAGGUGGGUUUAUUUUUGCAGCCAGUAGAUCCAUGUCUGAACUUCUGGCAAUUGAAAUGUCUGAGCAGGUUAGGUAUUUACAUUUCAACAGGAACACUUAAAAAUCCUAUUAGAAUCUUUUCCAGAUGAUGGUGUCUGUUGAAGUUUGGAUGCAAGUUCCUGUUUUAAUAAUGCAGCAUCUUUCUUGAUUGUGAUCCUCUCAACCUCUAUCAGAUCUUGUGACAUAAUUUCCGCAGUUAUUUAAUUGUCCUCCAUGUUCUCUAAUUCUCUAGUGUGGAUUACUCCUUUACUAUUAUUUAGAGAUAGAUGAAAGUUUUUAUAACCAUACCGACUAGCAUAUUUGCAUAUAGUAGAUUUCAGCUUGGACUUUUUUGAACAUUCCACCAGUAUCUGGCCAGAUCUUAUCUUCUUGACAUCCUUCACCAUCCCUGCUAUUCCUGACAUACCUUUCUUUCUAUAUAGUGCAUGGGGACAGCUUAGAAAGUGUCAUAUCGGGGAAUAGGGACUAAGUAAGAAUAUAUCCCUGCCAGUUAUCACUUUUGGGGAAAAAAAAAAAGCAAUAACUAUUUCCUAAUUCACAAUCCAAUUCUUGGUCCAACAAUUGUUUUAGUGUUGGAUUUUUUUUUUUUGCCAGAUUUUAUGUAGUUUUGUUUCAUCAUCCCUAUUCUUCACCCAUCUUGGAGCCCAACAAGGGGAAGUACAGAGCUGUGAAAAUCCACCAGGUAUGCAUCAAAGAUAUAGGAAUGAUAUACUUGAGCAAGCACACAAGGGGUUUGAAUUAUUUGAUUGACCCUCAGCCAACUGCUUCUGGAAAUCUGCAAAUUGUUCUAAACUAUGGUAAAAUUCCCAGGACAAGUCUUGUCUUGCCAAUUGGUUGGAAUGGGUCCUUCCAACCACCUGUUGAAAUGAAGUAGGAGCCAAAGUAUUGUGUUUGAGCUGGGACAGCUGCAGGGUGCCUCAUUCCUCAUUCCAGGAUCUCUUCUUCCACUGACACAGUCAUAUAUGUUGACUCCAUGGAGGCAGCUCCUCUUAGGCAAUACCUCUAUACUAUACUGGAAAGGACUGAUACUAAACAGGGCAG